This 1369-nucleotide ribosomal RNA is filed under the name uncultured bacterium. Its description in RNAcentral is "bacterial SSU rRNA". It matches the Rfam family "Bacterial small subunit ribosomal RNA", at positions 28 to 1381 of the family's 1533-position model. The record is from RNAcentral.
AACGAACGCUGGCGGCGUGCCUAAUACAUGCAAGUAGAACGCUGAAGAGAGGAGCUUGCUCUUCUUGGAUGAGUUGCGAACGGGUGAGUAACGCGUAGGUAACCUGCCUGGUAGCGGGGGAUAACUAUUGGAAACGAUAGCUAAUACCGCAUAAAAUUGAUUAUUGCAUGAUAAUUAAUUGAAAGAUGCAAUUGCAUCACUACCAGAUGGACCUGCGUUGUAUUAGCUAGUUGGUGAGGUAACGGCUCACCAAGGCGACGAUACAUAGCCGACCUGAGAGGGUGAUCGGCCACACUGGGACUGAGACACGGCCCAGACUCCUACGGGAGGCAGCAGUAGGGAAUCUUCGGCAAUGGGGGGAACCCUGACCGAGCAACGCCGCGUGAGUGAAGAAGGUUUUCGGAUCGUAAAGCUCUGUUGUAAGAGAAGAACGGGUGUGAGAGUGGAAAGUUCACACUGUGACGGUAUCUUACCAGAAAGGGACGGCUAACUACGUGCCAGCAGCCGCGGUAAUACGUAGGUCCCGAGCGUUGUCCGGAUUUAUUGGGCGUAAAGCGAGCGCAGGCGGUUAGAUAAGUCUGAAGUUAAAGGCUGUGGCUUAACCAUAGUAUGCUUUGGAAACUGUUUAACUUGAGUGCAGAAGGGGAGGGUGGAAUUCCAUGUGUGGCGGUGAAAUGCGUAGAUAUAUGGAGGAACACCGGUGGCGAAAGCGGCUCUCUGGUCUGUAACUGACGCUGAGGCUCGAAAGCGUGGGGAGCAAACAGGAUUAGAUACCCUGGUAGUCCACGCCGUAAACGAUGAGUGCUAGGUGUUAGGCCCUUUCCGGGGCUUAGUGCCGCAGCUAACGCAUUAAGCACUCCGCCUGGGGAGUACGACCGCAAGGUUGAAACUCAAAGGAAUUGACGGGGGCCCGCACAAGCGGUGGAGCAUGUGGUUUAAUUCGAAGCAACGCGAAGAACCUUACCAGGUCUUGACAUCCCUCUGACCGCUCUAGAGAUAGAGUUUUCCUUCGGGACAGAGGUGACAGGUGGUGCAUGGUUGUCGUCAGCUCGUGUCGUGAGAUGUUGGGUUAAGUCCCGCAACGAGCGCAACCCCCAUUGUUAGUUGCCAUCAUUCAGUUGGGCACUCUAGCGAGACUGCCGGUAAUAAACCGGAGGAAGGUGGGGAUGACGUCAAAUCAUCAUGCCCCUUAUGACCUGGGCUACACACGUGCUACAAUGGCUGGUACAACGAGUCGCAAGCCGGUGACGGCAAGCUAAUCUCUGAAAGCCAGUCUCAGUUCGGAUUGUAGGCUGCAACUCGCCUACAUGAAGUCGGAAUCGCUAGUAAUCGCGGAUCAGCACGCCGCGGUGAAUACGUUCCCGGGCCU